GCCAAUGUGGUGUAAUGGUUUGAGUGCUGGACUACAACUCUGGAGGCCAGGAUUCGAUUCCAAGCUCAGCCA
Molecule: non-coding RNA, 72 nt
Organism: Phrynosoma platyrhinos (Desert horned lizard)
Lineage: Eukaryota; Metazoa; Chordata; Lepidosauria; Squamata; Phrynosomatidae
Source: the annotation of a GenBank genome assembly